GGCCGGUUUAGCUCAGUUGGUCAGGUAGUGGUGUUGAUAAUGCCAAGGUCAUGGGUUCAAUCCCCAUACUGGCCA
Non-coding RNA from Crenichthys baileyi (White River springfish), 75 nucleotides. NCBI's taxonomy places the organism in Eukaryota, Metazoa, Chordata, Actinopteri, Cyprinodontiformes, Goodeidae. The record is from the annotation of a GenBank genome assembly.